GAUGAAGAACGCAGUGAAAUGCGAUAAGUAAUGCGAAUUGCAGAAUUCAGUGAAUCAUCGAAUCUUUGAACGCACAUUGCGCCCGCCAGUAUUCUGGCGGGCAUGCCUGUCUGAGCGUCGUUUCGACCCUCGCGCCCGGCUUCUGUCGGGGGCGGUGUUGGGGAUCGGCCACACCCUUCAGUGGGAGGCCGGCCCCUAAAUUCAGUGGCGACCACGCUGUAGCCUCCCCUGCGUAGUACUAAAACCACCUCGCAGGCGGAGAGCGGUGCGGCCCGCCGUAAAACCCCCCAACUUUUACAAGGUCGACCUCAGAUCAGGUAGGAAUACCCGCUGAACUUAAGCAUAUCAAUAAGCGGAGA
RNAcentral lists this unclassified non-coding RNA (359 nucleotides) under soil metagenome. RNAcentral's name for it is "partial contains 5.8S ribosomal RNA, internal transcribed spacer 2, and large subunit ribosomal RNA". The stretch from base 1 to 120 matches the Rfam family "5.8S ribosomal RNA", at positions 35 to 154 of the family's 154-position model. The record is from RNAcentral.